CUGGCGAGCCGGGGGCCGCAGCCGCCGAGGGAGGACGGAGCUUGGCGGGCCAUGGAGCGCAGGGCGAGGAGGCGCCGCCGCGACAGCCGCAGCCCCGAGCACUAGAGCCGGCCGCCACCGCCGGGUCCCGACCGAGCAGCCGCUCCCAGCCGCCUGCGCUUCCCCGCGCCGGGGCCGCCGCCGCCGCCGGGCGGGUCCCGAGCCCCCUUCCCCGCCCGCCGCCUCCCCUAUGCGGCGGGGCUGGAGGAGCCGGAGGCCUCGCUCGCCCGGGAGGCUGCAGCCGGGGGACGGCGUGUGAGGAGGGGCCGAGCCCUGCGCGCCCAGCGCCGACCUGGGGAUACACAGCUGCUUUGGGACACACCUCUAUUGGAUUUAAUACAUGCUCCACUAGCAACAGCUUUCAGCUAUGGAAUCGACGGUUGAUGAUGAGGCGAUGGCAGCAUAAAUGAAGAUCAAGUAAGGAAGGCAGAACGAUGCCCAAGGGUGGGUGUUCUAAAACACCACAGUCAGACGAUUUCUCUCUCAGCAACGACAUGGUGGAGAAACAAACGGGGAAAAAGGAUAAAGAUAAAGUUUCUCUAACCAAGACUCCAAAGUUGGACCGGAGUGAUGGUGGCAAAGAGGUGAAAGAGAGAGCUACGAAACGGAAGUUGCCUUUCACUGUUGGAACAAAUGGAGAUCAAAAAGACUCGGAUACAGAAAAGCAGGGUCCAGAACGGAAGAGGAUUAAAAAGGAGCCUGCCACUAGGAAGCCUGGCUUGCUGUUUGGAAUGGGGCUUUCAGGAAUCAGGGCUGGUUACCCACUCUCUGAGCGCCAGCAAGUCGCCCUUCUUAUGCAGAUGACAGCAGAAGAAUCUGCAAAUAGCCCAGUAGAUACAACACCAAAGCAUCCCUCUCAGUCUACAGUGUGUCAGAAGGGAACUCCUAACUCUGCCUCCAAAACCAAAGAUAAAGUAAAUAAGAGAAAUGAGCGUGGAGAGACUCGGCUGCAUAGAGCUGCCAUCCGAGGAGAUGCCCGGCGCAUCAAGGAACUCAUCAUUGAGGGCGCAGAUGUCAACGUUAAGGACUUUGCAGGCUGGACAGCAUUGCACGAGGCAUGUAACCGGGGUUACUAUGAUGUUGCAAAGCAGUUGCUUGCUGCCGGCGCGGAAGUCAACACAAAGGGGUUGGAUGACGACACCCCGCUGCAUGAUGCAGCUAAUAAUGGGCAUUUCAAGGUGGUAAAAUUGUUGUUACAUUACGGAGGGAACCCUCAUCAAAGCAACAGGAAGGGAGAGACGCCUUUAAAAGUCGCUAAUUCCCCCACCAUGGUGAAUCUACUCCUGGGAAAGACCACCUAUCCCUCUAGUGAAGAGAGCUCAACAGAGAGCUCAGAGGAGGAGGACGCCCCUUCAUUUGCACCUUCCAGCUCCGUUGAUGGCAAUAACACAGACUCUGAGUUUGAAAAAGGCUUGAAACAUAAGACAAAGAGUCAAGAGCCCCCCAAAACAACAAUCACACCGGUAAAGGAUGAAUAUGAAUUUGAUGAAGAUGAUGAGCAGGACAGAGUCCCGCCCGUCGAUGACAAGCAUUUGCUGAAAAAGGAUUACAGGAAAGAGACUAAAGCAAACAGUUUUAUUUCCAUACCCAAAAUGGAAGUAAAAACCUAUACUAAAAAUAACACAAUUACACCAAAGAAACCUGCCCAUCGCAUCCUGUCAGACACGUCAGAUGAAGAGGAUACCAGUGUAGCUGUGGGGACUGGCGAGAAGCUGAGACUAUCGACUCACUCGAUACUGCCCAGCAGCAAGACUCGAGAGCCCUCCAACACCAAGCAACAGAAGGAGAAGAAUAAAGUCAAAAAGAAGCGGAAAAAGGAGACAAAGAGCAAAGAGGUUCGGUUUGGCAAAAAAAAUGACAAAUUUUGUUCCUCUGAAUCAGAGAGUGAAAAUUUGGAGAGUGAGGAGGAUGAUAGAGACUCUGUGCAAAGCUCUAGCUGUGUAAAGGACUCUAGGCUAGUGCUAAAGGAAUCCUCCUUGUUCAACUCUCUGUCUGCCUCUUCCACCUCUUCUCAUGGGAGUUUAGCUUCACAGAAACAUAACCCUAAUCUUACAGACCAGCACUCCAAGCACUGGAGGACAGACAACUGGAAAACCAUAUCUUCUCCAGCAUGGUCAGAUGUCAGUUCCUUAUCGGACUCCACAAGGACGAGACUGACAAGUGAGUCAGACUAUACGUCUGAGGAUUCCAGUUUACAGUCGUUAAAGCCAGUGAGAAAGAAGCAGGAGCACAAAAAGAAAAAUAACUCUCACAAUACUGUCUCUGAGAAGAAGAAUUCAUUCCAUGCCAACGUGGACGGAGCAAUUCCAAAGCUGGAUAAGGAGGGAAAGGUUGUUAAAAAACAUAAAACAAAACAUAAACAUAAAAACAAAGAGAAGGGACAAUGCCCAGUCAGCCAAGACAUUAAAAUAAUCAAAACUUUUUCCUUUGAAUAUGAGGACUCUAAGCAAAAGCCUGACAAGGGUUUGAUAGAGACUGAAAGUCCAAGUGAAAAUAAAUUAAAAGUGUUAAAACAUGAGAGAGAACACUGUAAAAAGGAAGAAAAGCUACUGAAAAGUAAAUCAGAGGAGAAGGAAUGGUUGUUUAAAGAUGAGACUGGAAAAGCCUCCAAAGAGGAGAAAUCAUUAAAAAAAGUCAAAGAGGGGAAUAAAGACAUCAGCAAAUUUUUCAGAGAGGAGAAGUCAAGUAAAGAAAAACCCAUAAAGGAAAAGUCUCCCAAAGAGGAGAAACCUAGAAUACACAAGGAAGAGAGAAAGAAAAAAUCAAAGGAAAAGCAGUCAAAAUCUGAAAAGAAGAAUGAUCUGAAGGAGGAGAAAAUUACUAAACUGGAGAAAGACAAAACCUUCAAAGAAGAGAGAGAAAAAUGUAAAAAAGAAAAAGUUUACAAAGAAGAACCUGGAUUUGAUGAGUUUAGUAAUAAAAGCCAAUUGCUGGAAAGCGAGGACACAAAAUUCAGCCUUUCUGAUGAUCAGCAAGAGAGAUGGUUUUCUGAUUUGUCUUCUGAUUCAUCCUUUGAUUUCAAAGGUGAGGAUAGCUGGGAUUCUCCAGUAACAGACUUCAGGGAGAUUAAAAAUGACAGCAUGGCAAAACUAAUCCUAGAAACAGUGAAGGAAGAAAUUAAAGACAAGAAAAGGGAGAAUAAAACAAAGGAAAAGAAAGAAUACAAUGAAAAACGCAAUGAAAAGGAUACAUUCUUAAAAAAGAGAGAGAGAGAAAGUGUCGACAAAAACCCUGAGAAGAAAAAGGACCAAACUGAAAAGCAUAAAGUCACUCCUAGUUAUCUGCCUGAAAAGGACAAGAAAAGGAAAGAUUCUGCAGAAAGCGUUAAAGAGAGAAAGGAAAAAGAUCCAGGUGAAAUCAACAAAGAGAGAAAAGAUUCCUCUGAUAGCUGUAAAGACCGAAAGGACAUAAAAAUUAAACAAGAGGAGCCCUAUCGAGAUGAGUUUAAAGAAUAUGGUUGUGAAACAUUCUUCAAGGAGAAAUCUGACCCUGAAUUCAGUGGAAAAAAUGUGGAAAGCGGGGAAAGGCACCAUUCAGGGAAAGAUAAGGAGAAGAAAGAUGCUCCUGAUAAGGAAAAGAAAGAGAAACUGAAACCAGAAAAAUAUAAGGAGAAAUCCAAAGAAGCAGAUAAAGAGAAAAAUGAAAAAGUUGUUGCUGAGAAAAACCAGAAAGACAAAGAACUGGAUAAAAGUUUUAAAGAAAAAAAAGAUCCUAAGGAGAAAUACAAGGAUCUGCAUAACAAAGACAAAGAAAGGAAGACUUCUUUAGACUAUAUCAAAGAGAAAAAAGAGAAAAACUUCUCUGGAGAUAGAGAGGAUUUCUCUGAGAAAAGAGAUGAGAAAAAAGGAAAAGAGAAAAGCUGGUACAGCAUCGCAGAUAUCUUCACAGAUGAAAGCGAAGAUGAGAAGGAUGAUUACAGCUUAAGCGGAUUCAAAAUUGGUGAGGCCAUUGGGAGUGAAUUGCAUCGAAUGGACAGUCUACAAGAAAAAGAUGAUAGCAUGGCUGCUGAAAAGGAACUUUAUCUUGCUGACAAGCACAGAAAGUACUCUUCUGACAGGCAACAUUCAGGAGAGAAACAGAAAGAUAAAGAGAAGAAAAAGGAUAAAGGAUUAGCAGAAGGUGGGAAGGAGAAAAAAGAGAAGAGUUUCUUUGAAAAACACAAAGAGAAGAAGGAUAAAGAUUCUGUCGAGAAGUAUAAAGACAGGAAAGACAGAACCUCAGUAGACUCCACCCAAGAAAAGAAAAACAAGCAAAAGCUCCCUGAAAAGGCUGAAAAGAAGCAUGCUGCUGAGGAGAAGGUAAAAAACAAGCAUAAGGAAAAGAUGGAUAAAGAACAUUCCAAAGAAAAGAAGUCUUCAAAAGGAGGAGAGACCGAGAAGAGCCUGUUGGAAAAAUUGGAGGAGGAGGCCCUCAAUGAAUAUAGAGAUGACUCCAAUGAUAAAAUAAGUGAGAUUUCUUCUGAUAGCUUCACAGACAGAGGACAAGAUCCAGGACUAACCAACCUCUUUGAGUCUUCUAACCUUUCUCUUAUGGAUGCCUCUGAGGAAAAGUAUAAAGAUUCUCUUCCUUUGCCCUGCUUGCAAGACAAACUCAAGGAGAAGGAGAGGCACAGGCAUUCCUCAUCUUCAUCAAAGAAAAGUCACGAGAAAGAGAAAGCAAAGAAGGAAAAAACAGAGAAAAAAGAGAAAAUGGAUGACUUUAAAGACUCCAGCAACAGAAAAGAUUCCAGUCAAUAUGAAAAAGAAUUGUCUGUGGAUGGGGAGACUUUUGGCAUUUCCUACAGCAUGAAAGCAGAGGUUGAGGAAGAACUGGACAAAAACAUUGACUAUUUGUUUUCUGAAAAGAAAGAUAAAAAUGAUCCUGAGAGAGAGCUCUCAAAGAAGGCAGAAAAGGAAAAGACUUAUGUUUCCAGUACCAUCAGCACAGUCAAAGAGAAGAAGAAGAGAGAAAAACACAAGGAAAAAUGGAAGGAUGAAAAGGAAAAGCAUAGAGACAAACAUACAGAUGGAUUCUUUAAACAUCACAAAGAUGAGACAAAAUCUGUGGUUAAAGACAAGGAUAGCCCUCAAGUUAUCACAUUCAAAGAUAAGUCAAAGGAGGAGAACCUAAAAUUUAGUGAAACCAAACUGAAGGAGAAACUCAAGGAAAACCAAGAGAAAGACAAAACAGAGUCUCUAAAGAUCAGUAAUGGAAAUGAUAAAAUAACAUUGUCCAAAGAUGGUAGCAAGAAAGAUAACAGGCCUAGAGAGAAGCUUCUGGGUGAUGGUGAUCUAAUGAUGACCAGCUUCGAGAGGAUGCUGAGCCAAAAAGACCUGGAAAUUGAGGAGCGCCACAAAAGACACAAAGAGAGAAUGAAGCAAAUGGAGAAGAUGAGGCACAGAUCUGGAGAUCCCAAAUUAAAAGAUAAAAUUAAAACCUCUGAAGAGAUGCGUAAGAGGAGUCUGGAUUUGACCACAAAGAAACCACUAGCACUAGAUACUCAGCUAAAGGACAAAAAGCUCAAAGAACUCGGUCCACUGACUCCUAUAUUGUCACCAGAUAAUAAGCCACAGCUUGCUGUGGGGACAGAUUCAAAAGACUGGAUAACUGGCCCUCAGCUGAAAGAAAUUUUACCUGCUUCUCCCAGGCCAGAUCAGAACAGGCCGACAGGUGUUCCAGCUCCAGCUUCCGUAGUUUCUUGUCCAAGCUAUGAAGAAGUGAUGCAGACACCAAGAACUCCUUCGUGCAGCAAUGAAGAUUACACAGAUUUGAUGUUUGAUUGUGCUGACUCUCAGCACUCUCUGCCCAUAUCCACAAUGUCCAUGAAUGCAUGUUCUCCAUCCUUUUUUGACAGAUAUGCAAAUGCUUCAAGUGGACUUCCCGACAAUCCAAGUCAGACUCCAACAAGGACGAUACCCUCCACAAACCUUUAUCGUUCAAUCUCUGUUGAUAUAAGAAGGGUCCCUGAAGAUGAGUUCAGUGCUGGAGACAAGUUUUUCAGGCAGCAAAGUGUCCCGGCAACAUCAAAUUAUGAUUCUCCAGUGCAGCAUUUGAUGGAGGAAAAAGUCCCUCUUCCUUCUGUUCCUGCAGAAAAGUUUCAGUGUAUGUCUCCAGGGUAUUAUUCACCUGACUAUGGAAUUCCAUCACCUAAAGUAGAAACUUUGCAUUGUGCACCUGUUGGCAAUGUUGUCCAAUCACCUGAAAGCAUCUUUUCUGGUUUACAAGCAAAAUCCUCCCCCUCGCAUAGAGAUGAGCUGCUUGCACCUUCUGUAGAAAGUGCUCUUCCCCCUGAUCUUGGCAUGCCUUUGGAUACCACAGAAGAGCAGCAAGCUACUGCUUCUAUUUUGCCUCCAGAGUCUACCUUUUUACCACCUAUUGAAGAAAACCAUUUUAGUUCAGGUAUUUCAGAGCAGAACAAUAUGGACUGGGAUAAUCCUCCUUCCAGAAACCCUGACCCUCCCAUCCCUCCUAGUUUAAUUGGUAAUCCAUCUGAUCACCCUGUCAGCUGGUCAGUGGGAUCAGAACUUCUAAUGAAAUCUCCCCAGAGGUUCCCUGAAUCCCCUAAGCCAUUCUGUUCACUGGACCCAAUACAUCCUGCACCCGUGCCCUUUAUUUCUACAGAUUCUCCAUACCCAGUUUCUCCUAUUUCCUAUCCAUUGUCAGUAUCUGAACCGGGGCUUGAUGAAGUAAAGGAAGAUGCUGAAGAAGCAGUUCCAGGAGAAAUGGCAACUGCAGAAGAGCAAGCUCCUUACAUGUCCCCUACUAGAUUAGACACUUUCUUCAAUAACUGCAAGCCUCUUCCAGAAGAAACACCCGAGAUGCCUUUAGACCCCCCUUGCGUUCCAACAGAAACUCCGGCAGAGGCUGUUAACACUCUGGAAAACAGUUAUUUGGAAAACAGUAGUGUUGCACCUGUAAACCCAGAAGAGCCAGUAACGUGGCCUGAUCCAUUCACAAACUCAGAGGAUGACUUAGACCUUGGUCCCUUCUCGUUGCCGGAAUUGCCGCUCCAAGCUAAAGAUGUUCCAGAUGCUGAAAUGACUGAAGUGGCACCGAUAGAAGAAAGCCCAGUAGCUGCCCCAGAAGUCAUAAAUGCUGGGGUCAUAAACGUGAGUGUGUCUGUCACAGCUUCCAGUGAGCAGGAGGAGCUACCCCUUAAUCAGCCAAGUAACUUACGACCUGUGGGACCAGAGCCACAGCUGGAGGAACAAAAGCCGGAAGUGAUUGCACCAGAAGCUACCUCGGAAGCAUUGAAUGUACCAGAAGAGAAAAGAUUAGAAGAGUCCGAGGCACAGAGUUUUCAACAGACUGCGUCAACAGAGCUUGCUCUGCCAGAGAAACAAGAGGCAGAAACAAACCAUGAAGAAUUGCCCUCGUCAAACUGUGCAGUGGAGAGUGGAUCUCAAAGCAGCUUGGCACAAGCGAACGCUGCUGAGAUUGGGGUCGCGCAAGACAGUGCUGCAGUACGAAGUGGGAGCCAAGUCUCUUCCAUCCAGACAGAGACACCCCAAGGGACUACUCCAGUAGAAACCAUAGAGCCAGUACAAAAACCAGUAGCAGAAGUUUCCAAACCACCCAAAAUAGAAGAGAUCCCGCAACGAAUUACCAGGAACAGGGCUCAAAUGCUGGCCAAUCAAAAUAAACAGAACACUGCACCUUCUGAGAAAGAGUUUCCUCCAGUUUCUGCACCUUCCACGCGUGCUAAAGGGCGAGUGACGGAGGAAGACGAUGCUCAAGCCCAACAUCCACGUAAACGCAGGUUCCAGCGUUCCAGCCAGCAGCUACAGCAGCAGAUUAACACGUCCACCCAGCAGACAAGAGAGAUGAUACAGCAAACACUGGCAGCGAUUGUAGAUGCCAUAAAACUGGACGACAUUGAGCCCUAUCACAGUGACAGAUCAAACCCAUACUUUGAGUAUCUUCAGAUCAGGAAAAAGAUUGAAGAGAAGCGGAAAAUCCUCUGCUACAUCACUCCCCAAGCUCCCCAGUGUUAUGCCGAAUAUGUCACCUACACAGGGUCCUACCUGCUGGAUGGCAAGCCGCUAAGCAAGCUUCACAUUCCAGUGAUUGCACCCCCUCCAUCGCUCGCGGAGCCCCUGAAGGAACUCUUCAAGCAGCAGGAAGCAGUGAGGGGGAAGCUGCGACUCCAGCACAGCAUAGAGCGGGAGAAGCUGAUUGUUUCAUGCGAACAGGAGAUCUUAAGAGUUCACUGUCGGGCAGCGAGAACCAUUGCUAACCAGGCAGUGCCCUUCAGUGCAUGCACCAUGCUGCUGGACUCCGAGGUCUAUAACAUGCCUCUAGAAAAUCAGGGAGAUGAAAACAAAUCAGUCAGAGAUCGUUUCAAUGCUCGCCAGUUUAUUUCCUGGUUACAAGAUGUGGAUGACAAAUAUGAUCGAAUGAAGACGUGCCUGCUAAUGCGACAGCAGCAUGAAGCCGCUGCCUUGAAUGCGGUGCAGCGAAUGGAGUGGCAGCUGAAGGUUCAGGAGCUGGAUCCAGCUGGUCAUAAAUCCCUCUGCGUGAACGAGGUUCCCUCGUUCUACGUGCCGAUGGUAGAUGUCAACGAUGACUUUGUGCUCUUGCCGGCAUGACAAUACAAAACCAGGAGACAUUCUCCCUGAAAACUGGCAAGGGCGGGAGCCCUCCGAGGACAGAUGCUCGAGCUCACAUUCAUCCUUACCACUUGCUGAUGAGUCCCUGGUCAGAGGAGGAGGAAGCAUCUAUCGGCAGAAAACAAAACAGUAAGAAAAAUAAUUGCACUUUCUUCACGACGUCUCCCUCACUUCUGGACUGAUCAGAGCUACGCCAGGCAGCGGGAGUGGGGGAACGCAUCUCCUGUCAAACCGGUUGCUGCAGCAGAGGGCAGCCAGCCUGUACACAGCAGUGAGCGUCUGAACGGACAAGGGGGAGAGAGACUGACGGAGGCAGGGAGGAGAAAAGGUUCAAGAACACGUGUGUUGCAGAAGCUGCUGAGCAGGGCCAGCAACCAUGCAGUUCAUGUACUUGUGAACAUGGCGAUUUCAAGCUCUUUGUUUUCCAUUUGUCCGCAGAUCUCCUCUUGGAGAAGCUGCAGAGGAGACGGUGGGUUUUUUAUAGUUCUCGUUCCAUCCUGGUUACGUCACAAAUUAAAAGCAAAACUAAAAGGAAGCAUCCAGCUUUCCCAGCUGCGGUUCCGGAGGUGCAAACAGCUGCGGCUCCCGACCCCGGACGCCUUCUGAGUCGUCAUAAAGUAGCUGCUCGUCACCACGUUUGGAUGAGUGAGGAGGCAGUUGGCACGUUAUGCGCACGUGACUAGUACGCUGCUGUUAUGGAGUGACCUGAUUACUUGAGCUGGGAACCACACAGCCUUGCAGCCUGCCGGAUCACCGCUUUCCUCCAGGCUGCUUCAGAAAAGCCAGUUGAAGCACAUUCCUGUAAGGUGAUUUUCCCCACUAACUUAUUGAAUUAGUACCCUUGGCCUGUCACAGUAACUAGUUUCUUUUAACUACAUUGUGUUAGUGACUUAAGAAAUAAAAUCCCUAGCUCCCUUCCUAAGGCUGUACGGUGAAACGGACAGGCUGUCCCUGGCCGUGUACAGCACCGGUGCUCAGCUCCAUCUCACCAUGCUGCUGUGGUGUGUCCACGGGAGUUUUCUCUAUGCCUGUGCUGUGCACAAACCUGUCUGGGGGUAUUCCCCGUGUCCUGGACUGAGUGACUGGUACAAUGCAGGAGGAGGCUGCUCUGUGCUGUGGAAUGUAUCGAUGGCCUACAGAGGGUCAGGAUUUGUAGCACCCCGGGAUGUAUUCAGAAUGUUUUUUUUAUUUAAACAUUGAGCCCUUUGUUUCCAGGGUUCGAGUCCUUUUGCUCCUUUUCUCUUCCUUUCAGGGCUAGGCUUUGCCUGAUGCAGUGGCUGGUUUUCUCCACGGGUAUUGCCAGCUAAAUUGCAGCACACACUUUCCAUGCAAGUGGAGGGGAAUUGAUAGGCCAGCCAAUUCUCCUGCUCUGUGGGGAGGAUACAGGAAUGCUUUUCUUUCUCUAGAACACAGGAAUAUGGCCACAAAUAACACUUAUUUUUUUUAUUAAUUUCAAGCCCAGUUCUUUCUUUUGUUAAAUAACCAUCAAUUAAUCUGUAUAAGCAUGGAGAGACCUUUAAUCAGCAAUUUAAAGCAACAAUAGCUAAAGCGUUGUAUUAUCUUUGACACCUGUGCUACGUGGAUUCAAGUCUCAACAGUGUAAAUUUCCCUCCUUGUAAUGCUUCUCUGAGACUGUAUAUAAAUGUAAAUAUCUCACAGGUCAAUUCACACCCUUCUAUUUGUACUAGUCCAACUUGCGUAGUAUGUGGGGUAAAACAGCGGCAAGAUUGCGUUGUCUGUAACGUAACAAUGUAAUUUUUUUUUACAAUGUAGUUUGUGUACAUAUUGUUUGGCAGUGCUGGUGCUGCCGAUGCCACCGCUCUGCCGCGCCACGGCUGUCCUUUCGCUGUACGACUUCCUGCAGACAGAGACAAAGUGAAUACAAAUGUUAUUUUCUACAGUUGCAUGUACAGAGAUGAGCGCCAGAGAGAUGCUGUUGUCCCUCAAAGAUAAUGUUCGUAAAUAAAUUUAAAAAAAAA
Molecule: RNA transcript, 10606 nt
Organism: Caretta caretta (loggerhead turtle)
Lineage: Eukaryota; Metazoa; Chordata; Testudines; Cheloniidae
Gene: ANKRD11
Gene name: ankyrin repeat domain containing 11
Source: RefSeq, a predicted model, not a curated record